UUUAGUCAAGUAAAGUAAACU
RNAcentral lists this non-coding RNA (21 nucleotides) under Caenorhabditis elegans. The record is from RNAcentral. Lineage: Eukaryota; Metazoa; Nematoda; Chromadorea; Rhabditida; Rhabditidae.